RNAcentral lists this long non-coding RNA (1095 nucleotides) under Malus domestica (apple). Its description in RNAcentral is "long non-coding RNA (MDOM_LNC004371)". The record is from RNAcentral. Lineage: Eukaryota; Viridiplantae; Streptophyta; Magnoliopsida; Rosales; Rosaceae.
UGGGCCAACAUGCAAUAACCACAACUUUUUGGGCUAUAUUGCGAAAACACAAACUUUUGGGGUCACUUUGUAAAAACACAAAAGUCCACUACUUCAUGUAAUUACAACUAGAACCCAAAAUUUAAACAAUGCAAAAACUUCAUUAAAGGAACAAAACAAUUUGUCCUUUAGCGUUUUUGGACCUAAACGUAAAAACGUAAACUUUUGGGCCAAAGUGCAAAUACACAAAAGUAUCAAAACUUUAUGUAAUUGCAUAAAAGCCUCAAAAGUACCCUACAUGUAGGGUGGCCGGUUUUGGAGAGGGAAAGGAGUGAUGUGUGUGUUGAUUUGUGAGUUUUGACAUAAAGCAAGCAAGUGGUGCAAGUGGUGUGUGUGAAAGGCAAUUAAUCCUUUCACACCCACCAUUAAUUCUACCACCAUUUAAACAAAUAUCUAACACAUUAAAUCAUUUGAAAAACAUAAAACAUAAACUUUAUGAAAUAAAUCAAAACUUUGAAUCAAAACACAAAACCUUUUUGUUCUUGGCAAAAAUGUCAAGAACAAUGAAGAACAUUCAUGAAAAACCCAAAAAAAUUCCAUGAACAUUUUUACUCCAAAAACAUCUCAAAACCAUUCAAACUUUAGGGAAAUAACAUAUAACCAAACUAGGGUACAUAGGGGUUCCAAAAGUUACUUGAAAACACUUUUAACAAGUCAAACAAGAGCCCAAAAAUCCACCCUUUGGAUUUGGCCGAAAAUUCCCAAAAGCAUGGCACCAAAUUUUAGCUCCAAUAUUCAUGCUCAUAAGAACUACAUCAACAACAUUUGAGAUGGCAAAUUUUCUAACAAAAUUUACAUUCAAAGAAACAAGAAUAAAGCUUGUAACAUAUUACAACUUUUAAAUCACAAACUAUGAACCACAAAACCCAAAAGGAUUCACCAACUACUAGACCUAGGCUCUGAUACCACUUGAAGGAUUAUUUUGUGAAAACAUGUUCAUUUGAAUAACAUCUAUAGCAUGCAUUUAACAAUUAAAAGGCGGAAUCAUGCUUGCAUGCAUUAAAAAACAAAACAUUACCCAUGAAAUUCAAAGCCUAGUAGAUUGGUGAACCAAGA